This 519-nucleotide ribosomal RNA is filed under the name uncultured bacterium. RNAcentral's name for it is "bacterial SSU rRNA". It matches the Rfam family "Bacterial small subunit ribosomal RNA", at positions 25 to 523 of the family's 1533-position model. The record is from RNAcentral.
CAGAACGAACGCUGGCGGCGCGCCUAAUACAUGCAAAGUCGAAACGAGAAAUGUGUAGCAAAUAACAACAAUGUAAAAGUGGCGAACGGGUGAGGAUUACAUGGGUAACCUACCCUCGAGUGGGGAAUAACCAGCCGAAAGGUUGGCUAAUACCGCGUACGCUUCCGGAACUGCGGUUUCGGAAGGAAAGCGAUACCGUGGGUAUCGCGCUCUUGGAUGGGCUCAUGCCCUAUCAGCUUGUUGGUGAGGUAACGGCUCACCAAGGCUUCGACGGGUAGCUGAUCUGAGAGGAUGAUCAGCCACACUGGCACUGCGACACGGGCCAGACUCCUACGGGAGGCAGCAGUAAGGAAUAUUGCGCAAUGGGCGAAAGCCUGACGCAGCGACGCCGCGUGGGGGAUGAAGGUCUUCGGAUUGUAAACCCCUUUCGGGAGGGGAAGAUGGGAUGGGGUAACCCAUUCGGACGGUACCUCCAGAAGCCAGGCCACGGGCUAACUUCGUGCCCAGCAGCCGCGGUAA